CAUACCUAUUCGAAGGGAUAGGGUCGGUUCGGCCGGGUUUUACACAGGUGUUGCAUGGCUGUCGUCAGCUCGUGUCGUGAGAUGUUGGGUUAAGUCCCGCAACGAGCGCAACCCUCAUCCUUAGUUACCAUCAGGUAAUGCUGGGGACUUUAAGGAAACUGCCAGUGAUAAACUGGAGGAAGGUGGGGAUGAUGUCAAGUCAUCAUGGCCCUUAUGGAGUGGGCUACACACGUGCUACAAUGGUGGCUACAAUGGGCUGCAAAGUCGCGAGGCUAAGCCAAUCCCUUAAAAGCCAUCUCAGUUCGGAUUGUACUCUGCAACUCGAGUGCAUGAAGUUGGAAUCGCUAGAAAUCGUGGAUCAGCACGCCACGGUGAAUACGUUCUCGGGUCUUGUACACACUGCCCGUCACGCCAUGGGAAUUGGUUUCACUCGAAGCU
RNAcentral lists this ribosomal RNA (438 nucleotides) under Wolbachia endosymbiont of Trichogramma ostriniae. RNAcentral describes it as "bacterial SSU rRNA". It matches the Rfam family "Bacterial small subunit ribosomal RNA", at positions 993 to 1428 of the family's 1533-position model. Lineage: Bacteria; Pseudomonadati; Pseudomonadota; Alphaproteobacteria; Rickettsiales; Anaplasmataceae. RNAcentral also lists the same sequence under 6 other names. The record is from RNAcentral.